Molecule: ribosomal RNA, 446 nt
Filed under: uncultured bacterium
Lineage: Bacteria
Description: partial 16S ribosomal RNA
Rfam family: Bacterial small subunit ribosomal RNA
Source: RNAcentral
CCUACGGGUGGCAGCAGUCGAGAAUCUUUCACAAUGGGGGAAACCCUGAUGGUGCGACGCCGCGUGGGGGAAUGAAGGUCUUCGGAUUGUAAACCUCUGUUAUGUGGGAGCAAAUUAAAAAGAUAGUACCACAAGAGGAAUAGACGGCUAACUCUGUUCCAGAAGCCGCGGUAAUACAGAGGUCUUAAGCGUUGUUCGGAAUCACUUGGCGUAAAGCGUGGGUAGGCUGUUUCGUAAGUCGUGUGUGAAAGGCGCGGGCUCAACCCGCGGACGGCAGAUGAUACUGGGAGACUAGAGUAAUGGAGGGGGAAGCGGAAUUCGCGGUGUAGCAGUGAAAUGCGUAGAUAUCGAGAAGAACACUCAUGGCGAAGGCAGGUUCCUGGACAUUAACUGACGCUGAGGCACGAAGGCCAGGGGAGCGAAAGGGAUUAGAUACCCUUGUAGUC